AUUGAACGCUGGCGGCAGGCUUAACACAUGCAAGUCGAGCGGGGGAGGUUACUUCGGUAAUUGACCUAGCGGCGGACGGGUGAGUAAUACUUAGGAAUCUGCCUAUUAAUGGGGGACAACAUCUCGAAAGGGAUGCUAAUACCGCAUACGCCCUACGGGGGAAAGCAGGGGAUCACUUGUGACCUUGCGCUAAUAGAUGAGCCUAAGUCGGAUUAGCUAGUUGGUGGGGUAAAGGCCUACCAAGGCGACGAUCUGUAGCGGGUCUGAGAGGAUGAUCCGCCACACUGGGACUGAGACACGGCCCAGACUCCUACGGGAGGCAGCAGUGGGGAAUAUUGGACAAUGGGGGGGAACCCUGAUCCAGCCAUGCCGCGUGUGUGAAGAAGGCCUUAUGGUUGUAAAGCACUUUAAGCGAGGAGGAGGCUCUUUUGGUUAAUACCCAAGAUGAGUGGACGUUACUCGCAGAAUAAGCACCGGCUAACUCUGUGCCAGCCGCCGCCGUAA
This 504-nucleotide ribosomal RNA is filed under the name uncultured bacterium. RNAcentral's name for it is "partial 16S ribosomal RNA". It matches the Rfam family "Bacterial small subunit ribosomal RNA", at positions 30 to 523 of the family's 1533-position model. The record is from RNAcentral.